AUUGAACGCUGGCGGCAUGCUUUACACAUGCAAGUCGAACGGUAACAGGGUGCUUGCACCGCUGACGAGUGGCGAACGGGUGAGUAAUGCAUCGGAAUGUACCGUGUAAUGGGGGAUAGCUCGGCGAAAGCCGGAUUAAUACCGCACACGCCCUGAGGGGGAAAGUGGGGGACCGAAAGGCCUCACGUUAUACGAGCAGCCGAUGUCUGAUUAGCUAGUUGGUGAGGUAAAGGCUCACCAAGGCGUCGAUCAGUAGCGGGUCUGAGAGGAUGAUCCGCCACACUGGGACUGAGACACGGCCCAGACUCCUACGGGAGGCAGCAGUGGGGAAUUUUGGACAAUGGGCGCAAGCCUGAUCCAGCCAUGCCGCGUGUCUGAAGAAGGCCUUCGGGUUGUAAAGGACUUUUGUCCGGGAGCAAAUCCUAGUGGUUAAUAACCGCUGGGUCUGAGAGUACCGGAAGAAUAAGCACCGGCUAACUACGUG
RNAcentral lists this ribosomal RNA (484 nucleotides) under uncultured bacterium. Its description in RNAcentral is "partial 16S ribosomal RNA". It matches the Rfam family "Bacterial small subunit ribosomal RNA", at positions 30 to 507 of the family's 1533-position model. The record is from RNAcentral.